AGUUGCACACAGAUAACUAAUCUAUUGGCAAAUUGGCGUUUUUUCCUUUUGUAGGGAUUUGGGUUUGGUAGUUUGAGCAACAAGUAAUCCCAAAUCCCAGGCCUAGAUUACGAAAAAAUCUUUUUUUUACACCAUACCAUUGUUGAAAUCCUUGAUUGACUUCUCAAACUCCGGCGAGUACGGACGGAUUCAAUUUCGAUGCCAAUGGAGGACGAACAAGACACAUCCUUUCCCCACCACAAGCUCUGCGGUUAUCUCUGUGCUGUUCUCACUGUAGACACUUCUCCUCAUCCCUCCCCUCGACUCGGCACCCGCUUUCACAUCCUCCGCCAUAAUUCCCAGCUCCUAUUCAGAUCCGACGACGUCGUUUUGUCGCCGGUGAAUGCAGCCCAAUACCAAUGCGAGGGGGAACCGAAAUUGGUUGGCACGGAGGAAAGUUGCGGAAUUCCGAAGGGGAAGCGGAAGAGGAAGAGGAGCAUUGGACUGGUCAAUGGGAGUAUGAGCGUAGUGGAACAGAUUUACGCAUUGGUUACCAACAAGUGCUUGCAGAUUGAUGCUCGAAUGGUAUGGGCUGAGGAGGUCGGUGGUGGCUCGACUUCAACCUCAGCUGCAGGGGAGGUGAGAGCAGUGUUACUCGUCGAUGUUUAUCUUCCGAUUGAAUUUUGGUCCGGCUGGCAGUUUCCCAAAUGCGGAUCCAUUGCCGGUGCUGUGUUCAAACACUUGAGUUGUAAUUGGGAACAAAGAAGGUUGAUGAUUGCCAAUGAAGAUUAUUUUAAAGAUACCUUAGCAGCUGGUAGGGGCAUGUGGAAUCUCUCUGAUUGUCAUGUUCUUGGAUGCAAGCUACAUUAUGAUGUCACUGAUACUUCAAGGAAAAGACUAUUUGAACUUCAUGAAAUUUUUAAGAGUUUACCUAGUAUUACGGAGAUGGGAUAUCCCAACGCUUAUAGAAUACAACCUGUUGGUGACUCUUGUAGAUCUGGCAUAUGGGAACUAUCUGAUGACAUUCUGAUUAAAAUACUAGCUAUUCUUGGCCCAACAGAUUUAGUUAGGAUUGCUGUAACCUGUCGUAACUUAAGAUUCUUGGCUGCAUUAAUCAUGCCGUGUAUGAAACUUAAAUUAUUUCCUCAUCAGCAGGCAGCAGUACAGUGGAUGUUACAUCGUGAGCAGCAUGCUGAAGUCUUGCCUCAUCCCCUUUACAUGGCUUUCACGACUGAAGAUGGAUUCUCUUUUUACAUGAGCACUAUUUCUGGUGAAAUAGUUUCUGAUAUACCACCUACUGUUAAUGAUUUUCGUGGGGGAAUGUUUUGUGAUGAACCUGGCUUAGGCAAGACCAUAACAGCUCUUUCCCUUAUCCUCAAGACACUAGGAAAAUUGGCAGAUCCCCCAGAUGGUGUAAAUGUAAUCAGGUGUACUCAUAAUGGUGAUCAGGUAUGUGGCUAUUAUGAUCUUGGUGAUGAUUAUGCGGUUGGUAGUAUUGUGACCCCAGGAAAGAGGGAUGCUAGUAAGAAAGCACAAAUAGGUGCUGAGAAGCUUGGCUACUACUCGUCUAAAAGAGGCAGGCUAAGUUUUCUUAAUGAGCACGUUGCAGGAGUUAGGGAUUUAUGCUCUAAUAAAGGAAAAGAAACUCCGGCAGCUACAUGCCCUGAGCCAGCAAUGCCUGUGACUCGUUGCACAAGGAACUUGAGUCGCAUCAGGAAAAACCUGUUUUCCACUGUAGACAAAGAUUCUGGUUAUUUUAAUGAAACAAAGUCAGGAUUGAAUUCUUGUAGAGCUAAGCAUGUUUUGGAUGGAUCAGGACAAGUCUCUUGGGGAAAGCAAACUGAUAUGUCAUAUGAACUUUCGAAUGUGUCUAAGAAGCAUAGCAAAGUAACUACUGAUCAUGACCAUUGUAAUGAUACUUGGAUUCAGUGUGAUGCUUGUGGCAAGUGGCGGAGGUUUCAAGAAAGUAGUAUGUCCGGUACUAAUAUAACAUGGUUUUGUAGCAUGAAUACUGACCCUCUAUAUCAGAAUUGUACCGUUCCAGAGGAAACUUGGGACAAAGGGCAGCCAAUAAUGUAUUUACAAGGAUUCUACACCAAAGGAACAUCUGGAGGACAGGAACAGAAUAUUUCAUUCUUUGCUAGUGUGCUUAAGGAGCAUAGGUCCUUGAUGAAUUUUGCAACCAAGACAGCCUUGAGAUGGUUAAUUAAACUUUCUCCAGAAAAGCUCACAGAAAUGGAAACAAUUGGACUUAGAGGUCCUUUUAUCAGCACAUGUGUAGAGCCAGGUGAAGAUGCCCUUGAUUUUCAUAAAAUAUUUGAAUCAUUUGGUCUAAGAAGAGAAGUCAAAAAGCGUAUUAUUAUGUGGUAUUACCCACAAAACCUUCACAACUUGGUCUUUGAUGUGGCUGCUCUGAAAAUUGCUCUUUCUCUCCCACUGGAUUCAAUCCGGUUAUAUGUAUCAAAAGCAACCCUGAUAGUUGUUCCUGCAAAUCUAGUUGAUCAUUGGAAAACCCAAAUUCAGAAGCAUGUCAGACCUGGUCAGUUGCGGAUUUAUAUUUGGACAGAUAAUAGAAAGCCUUCUGCACACAGUCUGGCCUGGGACUAUGAUAUUGUCAUAACUACUUUCAAUCGCUUAAGUGUAGAAUGGGGAACCCAUAAGAGAAGUGUACUGAUGCAGGUGCAUUGGCUUAGGGUCAUGUUAGAUGAGGGGCACACCCUUGGAUCUAGUGUUGGCUUGACAAACAAACUGCAAAUGGCUGUUUCAUUAGUUGCUUCAAACCGUUGGAUAUUAACAGGAACACCAACUCCUAAUACACCCAACAGUCAUCUAUCACACCUUCAACCAUUGCUUAAGUUUCUUCAUGAGGAAGCAUAUGGGCAGAAUCAAAAGUCGUGGGAAGCUGGAAUUCUUAGGCCUUUUGAGGCGGAGAUGGAAGAAGGACGGUCUCGUCUGUUGCACUUACUUCGUAGGUGCAUGAUUAGUGCUCGGAAGGUAGAUUUGAAAAAUAUUCCGCCUUGCAUCAAGAAAGUUACAUUUGUUGAUUUUACCGAGGAACAUGCAAGAAGUUACAAUGAACUAGUAGUUACAGUACGGCGUAAUAUUCUAAUGGCUGACUGGAAUGAUCCUUCUCAUGUUGAAAGUCUGUUAAAUCCAAAGCAGUGGAAGUUCCGAAGCACAACUAUUAAAAAUAUUAGGCUAUCUUGCUGUGUGGCAGGGCAUAUAAAAGUAACAGAUGCUGGUGAAGAUAUUCAGGAAACUAUGGAUGUUUUAGUUGAAGGGGGUCUUGAUCCCAUGUCAGAAGAGUACGCUUUUAUCAAGUAUAACCUCCUUUAUGGUGGAAACUGUGUCAGGUGUGGGGAAUGGUGCCGUUUACCUGUCAUUACGCCAUGUAGGCAUCUUUUGUGUCUCGAAUGUGUUGAGUUGGACAGUAGAAAGUGCACUUAUCCUGGUUGUGGAAAUUUAUAUGAGAUGCAAACUCCUGAUACCUUAGCUCGGCCAGAAAAUCGAAAUCCAAAGUGGGCUGUCCCAAAAGAUCUUAUCGAGUUACAACCAUCAUAUAAACAGGACAACUGGGAUCCUGAUUGGCAAUCAACGUCUAGCAGUAAAGUUGCUUAUCUUAUACAUAAGUUGAAGGAACUACAGGAUGCUAACAGGGAGAUCUAUCAAACUAAAGAUGGUGGCACUGACAACCAAAACGUUGAGGGUUUACUUUGUACUUCUACAAUAAAUGAAUCUGAUGAACUGACCCAAGAGUUUGGUAGUUUCAGAAUGAGUCCUGCUCACAAAAGAAUUAUGGAUAAAGUAUUGGUAUUUUCUCAGUUUCUGGAGCAUAUACAUGUUAUUGAGCAACAGCUAACCAUUGCUCAUAUUAAAUUUGCUGGGAUGUAUAGUCCAAUGCAUUCUGGCAACAAGAUGAAGUCGUUGGCUUUGUUUCAACAUGAUGCAAAUUGCCUGGUGCUUUUGAUGGAUGGAAGUGCUGCACUGGGUCUCGAUUUGAGUUUUGUAUCACAUGUUUUUUUGAUGGAACCAAUAUGGGACAAAAGCAUGGAGGAACAAGUCAUCAGUCGUGCUCAUCGGAUGGGUGCUACACGUCCUAUUCAAGUGGAAACUUUAGCAAUGCGAGGUACCAUAGAAGAACAAAUGCUGACUUUCUUACAGGAUUCUGAAGAAUGCAGAAGAUUUUUAAAGCAAGAGUUUGGAAGGACUGAUUCUGAAGGUGCUCGAACGCAGCGCUCAUUACAUGAUUUUGCUGAGAGUAAUUAUCUCUCUCAUAUCGGGUUUGUGCGGACAAAUCCUAAGAUCUAAAAAGUCAUGCAACCUUUUUGUGCGUGUAGCAAUCUUCUUUAUGAUUGAAACAUUGCUUCAGAGAAUUCUAGGAUAACCGCAUGUAGCAAUUAAAGAGGAAUAGCAGAAUUUUAACCAUAUGGGACAAAGUUUAUAAUUAUAUUAGAAGGGAUUGUAGAUAGGUUUUGACCAUAGAAAUAUGCGCUUUUGAUUCAUUAUGUAUUGCCUAUUGUGCGGAGGCUGAGGCUGAGGCUGAAUUGAUGCAGCAGAUUGCUGGACAUAAAUUGACCUAAGAUGAAGUCUGCUAACAACUACUAAUUUCAAGAAACAUUGCCUGAAAUGGCAUCUUUUAGAUACCUUUUUGUAGGUUGCAUUUGUAAGUUGUAACCAUCUUCUCGUAAAUCGUUAUUCUUUUGAUUGAGAUACGAGUGAAAAUAAUUGGGGUAUCUAGCUUUUUCUUUUGGUCUUAGCAAAGGUGAAUGUGGUGAUGGGGAUAUGGACAUUUAUGUACAUAUAAUCAUUAUUAUGAUUUAUACAUAUUGAGGAAUUAAUUUCUUGUCAA
This is an RNA transcript of Humulus lupulus (European hop), 4828 nucleotides long. It is a transcript of the gene named F-box protein At3g54460, with no coding region annotated. Lineage: Eukaryota; Viridiplantae; Streptophyta; Magnoliopsida; Rosales; Cannabaceae. The transcript is spliced from 10 exons. The record is from RefSeq and is a predicted model, not a curated record.